GACUUCAUAUGGUGAUUCCAGGCCUCAGUGAUUGACAAGGAUUUUGAGAAUUGAAAAGUAUUGCAUGCCCAGCCCCAGAGUUACUCAUCUCUGCUUCCACCCUUCAAGAACUAAGGAUUAUCACUCAUGCAUUUAGAUCGACAUUAUUGGAAUUAAAUUUGAAGCAAUUGAUGGCUUCAAAUGUACUUGUAAGUUAGAUGAUUAAGCCAUACUAUUCCAAGUACCAAGUAUGAAAUCCUCGACUCUUUGCUAAAUGGGAUGCAAUUUUUAGUAGUAGAAUAUGAUUUUAUUCUUAACUAAGUAUAGAAGGCUAUACUGCAACUCUCAACAGGUACAUCUAUUUUGGGUUAUAAUGUGGUGUAUAAAUUUAAGUCUGAUAUCUUUCUCACUUUGAAGAGUAAUGCCAUAAUGCCUAAAAUGAAUGUGCUAAAACAUUGCCAUGUUGGAGUGCAGGACAAUAGCUUUAAGAAGGUGCCUCUUGUUCAAUACUUUUGGAAUAAUAAUUCCAAGGUAUACAAGUGAUAAUGGCCCGCUAUUUUGCAAACUUUUGUAGUUAAGAGUUAGGAUCGAAUAAUUUAAAAAUCAAAAGUAUGAAGAUACGGUGUUAUUUGAAGCUAUAUAUUUACUGUCAGAUCCAUUUGGCCUUCUCAAUUUAAUUUCCUAACUUAUUAUCAUAAAAAUAACCAUAGCCAACAAACCUAAUGCCAUCCAUAGGUUGAAGAUGCCAAAGCUAGUAAUCCAUCUUGGUGUUUGUACUGGAGAUUUUAGGUUCAAAACAUACCUUCAUUAGAGAAGGUGGAGGGGUGGGGGGGGGGGUUGUUAGGGGUAUACGCAGGAUGGCUAACCCCAUUUUUUUGCUCAU
This 862-nucleotide long non-coding RNA is filed under the name Phoenix dactylifera (date palm). RNAcentral's name for it is "long non-coding RNA (PDAC_LNC015032)". Lineage: Eukaryota; Viridiplantae; Streptophyta; Magnoliopsida; Arecales; Arecaceae. The record is from RNAcentral.